This is an unclassified non-coding RNA of Macaca mulatta (Rhesus monkey), 148 nucleotides long. It matches the Rfam family "Metazoan signal recognition particle RNA". From Rfam's summary of the family: The signal recognition particle (SRP) is a universally conserved ribonucleoprotein. It is involved in the co-translational targeting of proteins to membranes. The eukaryotic SRP consists of a 300-nucleotide 7S RNA and six proteins: SRPs 72, 68, 54, 19, 14, and 9. The record is from Ensembl. NCBI's taxonomy places the organism in Eukaryota, Metazoa, Chordata, Mammalia, Primates, Cercopithecidae.
GCCAGGCAUGGCGGUGCAUGCCUGUAGUCCCAGCUACUCAGGAGGCUGAGGCAGGAGAAUCACUUGAACCCAGGAGGCAGAGGCUGUAGUGAGCUGAGAUCGUACCACUGCACUCCAGCCUGGGUGACAGAGUGAGACUCUGUCUCAA